Molecule: long non-coding RNA, 766 nt
Filed under: Hordeum vulgare
Lineage: Eukaryota; Viridiplantae; Streptophyta; Magnoliopsida; Poales; Poaceae
Description: long non-coding RNA (HVUL_LNC000214)
Source: RNAcentral
CUCUGUUAAUUACUUCACUUCUGCUUUGAUACAAUCACUCGCCACCAUCCACGGCGGCAAUAUGCACAAACCCUUCAAAGGGUGUGAUGGCCAUUAAAAAAAAGUGUUGCCCUCCCAACCUCGCAUAUCUAAUCGAACUCUUCAAAUAUUAAUUAUCUCUUAAAUUUCUUCUCAAGUCUUAAUUCCUCAAAUACGAAGAGUUAAAAAUGUGUGAAUCAAGUUGAACCCUUGAAUUGAACUCCUAAAAUCAAAAUCGCAAACAGAUGUGAGUGCAACAGAUUACUCUCCCUUCCGCCCCUCCCGCGUCGCUCCCGCGAGCGACCGGGAGGUCUAACCCUAGCGCUGCCGGGUCGGGCUCCCUCUCCUCCCCCUCCCCUCGCCGUCGCCGGUGCGCGUCGUCGGGCUAAGCCCGGUCGGCGUUGGUGGUGGCGGGGUUCCUCACUCCCCCUCAAAGACGACGGCGCGAGCCGGGGUGUUCGAGCAGCGGCGGCGCGCGGGCAUAGGGCGCGUCGUCGUUGUGUCGGGCUUUUGAUGGUUGUGUUGCGAAUCGUGCGGCCGAACGAGGUGGGCUGCAGGUGGCGGCGUCCGUUGUUCGUUUUAAUCUUAUCAUGUUCAUGUAGUUAGAGUUGUCCGAGUGAAUCAGCAAGUUAGCUAGUCAAGUCAGCUGCUGCAUGCAGAGUGGUUUGUUGCAUGCACAAGUUAGUUACUGAGAUAAGUAACAACUUGGUCAAGUUAGUACACUGGGCAUGGGCAGCCCGGCCAGGCG